RNAcentral lists this transfer RNA (71 nucleotides) under Polychrus marmoratus (common monkey lizard). RNAcentral's name for it is "tRNA-Ser specifying UCN codons". It matches the Rfam family "tRNA". From Rfam's summary of the family: Transfer RNA (tRNA) molecules are approximately 80 nucleotides in length. Lineage: Eukaryota; Metazoa; Chordata; Lepidosauria; Squamata; Polychrotidae. The record is from RNAcentral.
GGGAAAGAAACAUUAAGGUGAUGUUGUUAGCUUGAAACUAAUUAGUGGGGGUUCGAUUCCUUCCUUUCUCG